Molecule: long non-coding RNA, 446 nt
Organism: Triticum urartu
Lineage: Eukaryota; Viridiplantae; Streptophyta; Magnoliopsida; Poales; Poaceae
Source: RefSeq, a predicted model, not a curated record
CUGCAGUCUGCACAUGCUGUGUUGAGGGGAUCGGAGGAAUUGGUAGCACGCCAUAAAAUUGUGCUUACCUUCUCUAAAAUCAUGCUUGUUUCAUUCAUUGCUUCACAUCACCAAGUUAUUGGUGCGAUUGAGUCCAAGCUUGUUUGCACUACUGGAUGCCGCUCCAUUUAACUCCAUGUGCUGUUUGAUUUUAUAGGGGUAGAGAGUUUGUGUGAAAGUGCAGGGGCGCUGGUGGUACAGGUUAAAUUGAACCCAUGGAAGAUUUCAACUCAUAAUCUUUGCUGUGAAUCGUACACAAAAGUUCCUGAUUUUUUUAACCUGUCUUGGAAGUAAAUUGCCAUUUCUUUUUUAGAUUGACUCAUGGUAAUACUAGCAUGUACACACAUGAAUGCACGUCUGAACAUUUUGAUGUGAUUUUGUAGAUAAGAAAUUACAAAGAUAUAAAC